This 125-nucleotide transfer RNA is filed under the name Aspergillus terreus NIH2624. RNAcentral describes it as "tRNA-Pro (TGG) (tRNA-Pro-TGG-1-1)". The record is from RNAcentral. Lineage: Eukaryota; Fungi; Ascomycota; Eurotiomycetes; Eurotiales; Aspergillaceae.
GCCCGAGUGGUCUAGUGGGUAAGUUUCACAACAGUCGUCCACAAAUGGAUUUGUCAAUUAACGAAACAUAGUAUGAUUCUCGCUUUGGGUGCGAGAGGUCCCGCGUUCAAACCGCGGCUCGGGCC